Molecule: ribosomal RNA, 405 nt
Filed under: uncultured bacterium
Lineage: Bacteria
Description: bacterial SSU rRNA
Rfam family: Bacterial small subunit ribosomal RNA
Source: RNAcentral
GUGGGGAAUCUUAGACAAUGGGCGCAAGCCUGAUCUAGCCAUGCCGCGUGAGUGAUGAAGGCCUUAGGGUCGUAAAGCUCUUUCGCUGGGGAAGAUAAUGACGGUACCCAGUAAAGAAACCCCGGCUAACUCCGUGCCAGCAGCCGCGGUAAUACGGAGGGGGUUAGCGUUGUUCGGAAUUACUGGGCGUAAAGCGCGCGUAGGCGGAUUAGAAAGUUGGGGGUGAAAUCCCGGGGCUCAACCCCGGAACUGCCUCCAAAACUACUAGUCUAGAGGUCGAGAGAGGUGAGUGGAAUUCCGAGUGUAGAGGUGAAAUUCGUAGAUAUUCGGAGGAACACCAGUGGCGAAGGCGGCUCACUGGCUCGAUACUGACGCUGAGGUGCGAAAGCGUGGGGAGCAAACAGG